GCCACGGCUAGAUGUGGGGUAGCUCCCCACACCGAAAAGCAGUUUGCCUUUCCUGCCUGCCGCUGGUUUCUUCUGAAAGG
Molecule: small RNA, 80 nt
Filed under: Acidovorax temperans
Lineage: Bacteria; Pseudomonadati; Pseudomonadota; Betaproteobacteria; Burkholderiales; Comamonadaceae
Description: int-alpA RNA
Rfam family: int-alpA RNA
About the family: Acidobacteria (1 example), Planctomycetes (1 example), Proteobacteria. Environment (Lake Washington)
Source: Rfam by way of RNAcentral